CCUACGGGGGGCAGCAGUGGGGAAUAUUGGACAAUGGGGGCAACCCUGAUCCAGCCAUGCCGCGUGUGUGAAGAAGGCCCUCGGGUUGUAAAGCACUUUCAGUGAGGAAGAACGCCUGGUGGUUAAUACCCAUCAGGAAAGACAUCACUCACAGAAGAAGCACCGGCUAACUCCGUGCCAGCAGCCGCGGUAAUACGGAGGGUGCGAGCGUUAAUCGGAAUUACUGGGCGUAAAGCGCGCGUAGGUGGCUUGAUAAGCCGGUUGUGAAAGCCCCGGGCUCAACCUGGGAACGGCAUCCGGAACUGUCAAGCUAGAGUGCAGGAGAGGAAGGUAGAAUUCCCGGUGUAGCGGUGAAAUGCGUAGAGAUCGGGAGGAAUACCAGUGGCGAAGGCGGCCUUUUGGACUGACACUGACACUGAGGUGCGAAAGCGUGGGUAGCAAACAGGAUUAGAUACCCUAGUAGUC
RNAcentral lists this ribosomal RNA (465 nucleotides) under Vreelandella stevensii. Its description in RNAcentral is "partial 16S ribosomal RNA". It matches the Rfam family "Bacterial small subunit ribosomal RNA", at positions 338 to 795 of the family's 1533-position model. Lineage: Bacteria; Pseudomonadati; Pseudomonadota; Gammaproteobacteria; Oceanospirillales; Halomonadaceae. The record is from RNAcentral.